Molecule: unclassified non-coding RNA, 250 nt
Filed under: plant metagenome
Description: partial contains small subunit ribosomal RNA, internal transcribed spacer 1, and 5.8S ribosomal RNA
Source: RNAcentral
GUAGGGUAAGCUAACCCCUAUUCCUCCCCAUAACGUCCUACUAACAAGUCACAGUGAACCUGCGGAAGGAUCAUUACAGUCGGGGCUCGACGCUUCGCCCGUGGCCAUUGCCGCCGGUGGAGUGCGCCUGCCUGGAAUUCUUGUCUAUAUCUCCACGUUGCUUUGGCGGGUCGUCUUAGGACCGCUGGGGGUGCUGCCCCUGGCGUAUGCCCGCCAAAAGCCUCAAUUAAUCCGUGUCAAACGUGUUGUC